GGCUUAGCAGUCCCUUUUCUUUUUUUUGUGGCGACGGGGCUGGGCGAUGGGUUGGGAGGGCGGAGGAGGGGGCUCGCGGAGUGGGGCGGCGGCGGGAGCUUAGGGCGGCGGCGUGUACGGGAGUGGCCUUGGGCGGCGACGCACGCGGGAGCGGCUUUGGGCGGCGACACGCGCGGGAGCGCCCUUGGGGGCGGCGGUGCUCGGGGGACGGCGGCACGCGGGAGGGGCCUGCGGGGCGGCGUCGGGCGGGAGGGGCCUGGGGGCCCGGCGGCACGGUGGUGGCCCUAGGUUAGCGGUUGCUCUCGGAGAGGCGCUGGGGGGCGGGUCAACACCAGCAGCGGACUACGGAGCUACGGCGGCUUGCGGCAGAAGGAAGGCCGUAGGUGCGCGGCAGGCUCGCGGCGGCACGGAAGAGCGUGGUCAGAGGAGGGCGGUACGGGGAGAGGACGAUCGUCAGGCCUGCCUUGGGGACUGAUCAAUCCAACCGGGUCCGCUCCGAGGUGGCGGCGGCGCGUCGGAGGAGGGCCACCCCGAGGUGUUGGCGUCGUGCUUCCCGCAAGUAACCUCGGUGGAGACCGGCAAGUUCAUGCGUCGGGCAAGUUCAUGCGUCGGGGACCUCCAUGUUGUCGGUGUCGAACACCUUUAAUGACGUCGUUGCAAGUAGCAGAGGUGGAGCAUGUAAACUAAAACAUGGGAAAACAGUAAAAAGUGGGUACAAUAAAGUCGUUCUACCAACAACUUACGAACUGGACGAUACCAUGAUGUUAUCCCUCCGGUUUUAACUUGAAGUGGUUUUAGAUCUUUUUUGUCCUACUCCUUCCCGCGUCGGUUCAGGUUACACAAGAGCACAACUACUUCAUUAAGUUCCUCGUCCACCAAAGUAAGCAUACUUCGUGGUUGUUAUUUUAGAAGUAGGGGUACAAACAAAGAACAAAAUAAAGUUCGACGGUGAUUGGUAACCGUAAAAAACAGACUACGAGGUGCAGAACAUUCACAGGUGAUUUUUUUGUCUUAAAAUACGUUAUGGUCGUUUGUCAUUCACGCUUGAAGAGGCAAAUGUAAGUAGAUUUCUUCAUGCAUAAAAAAUUUCAUUAGACCUUCAAUUUUCUAAUAUCAGAUCUCUCAAGUUAGUAACCUAAAACCCUUCUUAAGUAGAAUGACUAUUUAUUACUUAUCUCUUUUUUUAAUGUUUUAUCCAAAACCCGGUCAUGAUUUAUCCAAUCCUUAACAAACCGCAACCACCCCACAACCUCGCAAUGAUGAUGAACCAAGUGAAGGUAAAGUUCCCAGAACGAACUUCUAUAGAAACUUCGGUAUUUGUGUCAACAAAACUAAAGUUUAACGCCAGGUACCCAACUCGAUACUUCGACUUCAACAACAAUACGAAGACUUAUAGAUGAGAAAGGACAUCCACAACUAGGACCACGAACAGCGGUAAGUGCUCCUUUCUAUCAGCCAGAAACUUGCCCACCCACUAGAACGACAACGACCCUAUGAUAAGUUGUACCCCUAAGCUAGAGGGAACUCCACGUCACAUCGUACUAUAUACGACGACGGAGAAAACCUAAAUAACAACUCUACCAGCGAGUUCGAGUUAUAACUAAUCAGGAAGGGGAUCUAGAAAGGGAUGUACGAGAUAUCCAGUAGUCAUUCUUGUUUUUCAUACGGAGAUUCGACGGACACAAAUAAGGUGUUUUAUAUUCAAUCAUACCGACGUGUGCCAGUUGACAAAAACUGGUCAAAGACAUCAUUAAACAUACCGGCUGUUAAAAGUCGUCAUUAAUUGUACCGACGCCAGGUAACACAAACUAAAAGUUGUCCGGUUGAACUAAUUACGAUCACGUUGAGUAGAAGUUUUCACAUGUACCUGCGUAACACUUUAAACAAGGACGACAACAACAAAUCUAUCUAGUGUGAUCUUGUAAAACAUACUUGGUAAAUGAGUUCACUCUCUCUAUCCGAAGAAGCAUCAAGUAGAUAAAGGGCCGUUUUCAUCUUUUACAUUGCUGUAAACAAGGG
This 2019-nucleotide ribosomal RNA is filed under the name Triticum aestivum (bread wheat). Its description in RNAcentral is "partial small subunit ribosomal RNA". Lineage: Eukaryota; Viridiplantae; Streptophyta; Magnoliopsida; Poales; Poaceae. The record is from RNAcentral.